UACGUAGGGGGCAAGCGUUGUCCGGAUUUAUUGGGCGUAAAGAGCGUGUAGGCGGCCAGGUAGGUCCGUUGUGAAAACUCGAGGCUCAACCUCGAGACGCCGAUGGAAACCAUCUGGCUAGAGUCCGGAAGAGGAGAGUGGAAUUCCUGGUGUAGCGGUGGAAUGCGCAGAUAUCAGGAAGAACACCCGUGGCGAAGGCGGCUCUCUGGGACGGUACUGACGCUGAGACGCGAAAGCGUGGGGAGCGAACAGG
RNAcentral lists this ribosomal RNA (253 nucleotides) under uncultured bacterium. Its description in RNAcentral is "partial 16S ribosomal RNA". It matches the Rfam family "Bacterial small subunit ribosomal RNA", at positions 524 to 776 of the family's 1533-position model. The record is from RNAcentral.